Molecule: long non-coding RNA, 1353 nt
Filed under: Monodelphis domestica (gray short-tailed opossum)
Lineage: Eukaryota; Metazoa; Chordata; Mammalia; Didelphimorphia; Didelphidae
Description: lncRNA (ENSMODG00000031596.2)
Source: RNAcentral
GAAAAGACAGUCCCAACCUGGAUGUUUCCGAAGUCUCAUUUUCUUGCAGAAGAAAACAUAUGAUUUUUCACUUGUUUAUUUGAGUAUGUGAUUUAUAAUAAUUUAAAAAAAUGAUUACAAAAAUGAACAGUAUGAAAAUGGGUAAAAUCCAGUGGAACUGCUUGUCAUCUAUGGGAGGGAAACAACAGGAAUCAUGUGACCUUGGGAAACUUACUUGUUGCUGGUAUAAAAUAAGGAGAUAUUUUUAAAGUCUCAUUUUCAGGAUCUCUCCAUUUAGAGGGGUUGUUCCACUUGGGCAGGUUACCUCUGUGCCUUUGAACCAGAGGCCACUGCAGUUAUUGAGCACACUUCAGCAGCUGUUCCUCCUCUGAACGCAGCAAAGCAGAGAAUUGAGGCAAGAGGUCUUCUAAGCACGUGGGGACCAGAGGAGUAUGAAUUGACCAGACUGGAUGUUUCCUUUUAUCAAAAAAUUGCCAGGUGCCAGGAUGCAGCCCCACAACAUGUAACGUCAAAUACCGGCCAACCUCUGGAAAUAGACCUAGAGGCAUUGUCUCAAAGGGCCCCAAAUGGUGAAACUCUCCGGCAGGCUUUCCAGAGGGCGAGAGGUUGGGAUUCUGUAAGAUUCGGAAUAUUGGGUACUUUUCUCCAACCCGCCCCCUCCCCACCCUAUCCAGGACCAGAUUGGCCAUUUGGGAAGUUGAGUCAAAUGUCUGAAGGGAUCUGGAGAAGCCCAGCUUCAGCCUCUCACCCCUCCUAUCCUACUGGUACAGGAUUCACUAAUAGAGCAAAAGGUAUAAAUACUCCCCAGAUCAAUCAAAUCUUUCUCCGGUUAAUUUGAUGGAAACACCCAGGGCUCCAAAUGCUAUGUAAAUAACCCAUCAUCUGUGAAUUUAAAUAGGUAAGGGAUCCCAAACACUGUGAAGAGCCGUAACUGUCUCAGAGAGGCUCCUGGGGUAACCAGCAUAAACCCUGAAAACGGAUCUAACAUACAAAUAAUCUUUACACUGGAGAGGGCUAAGCUUUGUGCUUUAUCUAACUAAAUAAGCACUGAUGCCAUUAAAACGCUGAGCUGGUUUUAAGUCUUCUCUGCUCCUGCUGCUCCUAUUGACAGAAAGAUAAAGUGCUGUCUAACAGCACAGCAAAGAUUCUUACCUGCAGGAGUGCAGCCCAAACCUUUCUUGAUGCUGCCCCCCAACCCCCUGCACCAACAAGUCAGGAAGCAUGUACUGAGCUCCUAAUGUGUAUGCAACACUGUGCUGUGUGCUUUGGGAAAUAAGAAAUAGGAUAUAAGCCCAUGGGCUAGCUUGGAGCUGUGUGAAUAAAAAGGACAAAUCAGAAGGAUUCUUUAAAGGA